UUUACGAAAUCACCACACGCUGACUUAUGGGAUUAUACUUCCUAAGCACAGUUCGUAAAUGCUGUCACUUCAAAUAAAAAUCGCAGUAUUCCGGACUUACGAUCACGGCAGUUGAUAUACAAGCUGCACCCUUAUGCAGAGACAAGAGGUAGCACGAACGUUUUUGCCAACCAGCGCCCGCUUCGGAGGCGCAGCAGAGGGGAGGUGCCCCCACAGUGACGUCACGCUGUUUGAAGGUCUAUUGAAGGAACACUUCGCAAUUUGGCAAGUGCAACCAGUCAGUUCGCGAGGCAGGUCAAUUUAGGAAGAAUUUUUAUGCUGGCACCAGUCUCGAAAUAUCCCUGCCCUGCAACUGCGACGAAACGCAUUGACCUUGAAAUUAAAUUUGUCCCGCAUUGAGUAAAAAUGCGGUUU
Molecule: long non-coding RNA, 414 nt
Organism: Dermacentor silvarum
Lineage: Eukaryota; Metazoa; Arthropoda; Arachnida; Ixodida; Ixodidae
Exons: 2
Source: RefSeq, a predicted model, not a curated record